Molecule: ribosomal RNA, 579 nt
Filed under: uncultured bacterium
Lineage: Bacteria
Description: partial 16S ribosomal RNA
Rfam family: Bacterial small subunit ribosomal RNA
Source: RNAcentral
UGGGGAAUUUUGGACAAUGGGCGAAAGCCUGAUCCAGCAAUGCCGCGUGUGUGAGGAAGGCCUUCGGGUUGUAAAGCACUUUUGUCCGGAAAGAAAUCCUCUGGGUUAAUACCUCGGGGGGAUGACGGUACCGGAAGAAUAAGCACCGGCUAACUACGUGCCAGCAGCCGCGGUAAUACGUAGGGUGCAAGCGUUAAUCGGAAUUACUGGGCGUAAAGCGUGCGCAGGCGGUUUGCUAAGACCGAUGUGAAAUCCCCGGGCUCAACCUGGGAACUGCAUUGGUGACUGGCAGGCUAGAGUAUGGCAGAGGGGGGUAGAAUUCCACGUGUAGCAGUGAAAUGCGUAGAGAUGUGGAGGAAUACCGAUGGCGAAGGCAGCCCCCUGGGCCAAUACUGACGCUCAUGCACGAAAGCGUGGGGAGCAAACAGGAUUAGAUACCCUGGUAGUCCACGCCCUAAACGAUGUCAACUAGUUGUUGGGGAUUCAUUUCCUUAGUAACGUAGCUAACGCGUGAAGUUGACCGCCUGGGGAGUACGGUCGCAAGAUUAAAACUCAAAGGAAUUGACGGGGUCAUAGCUG